GGUAUGCAGGCCCGUUGGCCGCUGAUCCGCAGACUGCCGCAGGCACCAUUGGGUCACGUGAUGUUUCUGACUGGCCGGUCCACAUUGACCGCCGGCCAACAGAACGGAGAGGCUGGUUUAGUUGAGAAUCGAGUAGUGGCGGGGGAAGUUAGUUUGUUAAGAGAGGAGUUUUCCGGUGACCGUUAUCGGCGCAGAACGAACAUCUGCUUUGUUGAGAAAUUAAGCCUGAAUCAGAAUACACGCCAGGCAUUGAUGCUGUAAGGUUUUGCAAGCAUUCUGGUGUGAAGUAAGAUGACUGAUGUGCGGCCAAGCCCAGCUGCAAUGAACCACAACAUGAGCUCCAGCUCCAUGUCAAGUUUAAAGGGUAAGGAGGCGCAGUGGGC
RNAcentral lists this unclassified non-coding RNA (383 nucleotides) under Amphibalanus amphitrite. RNAcentral describes it as "exocyst complex component 4-like, transcript variant X1". The record is from RNAcentral. Lineage: Eukaryota; Metazoa; Arthropoda; Thecostraca; Balanomorpha; Balanidae.